UCUCCCGUUGAUCCUGCGGGGGGCCACCGCUAUCCCCGUCCGACUAACCCAUGGGAGGUUAGGGGUACCGGGUAAGGUACCCCGCCGCACGGCUGAGUAACACGUCGGCAACCUACCCUCGGGAGGGGGAUAACCCCGGGAAACUGGGGAUAAACCCCCAUAGGAGAUGGGUGGUGGAAUUCCCCCAUCUCCGAAAGGGAGUGGGGAUAAUCCUUCCCCACUCCGCCCGAGGAUGGGCCGGCGGCCUAUCAUGGUAGUUGGCGGGGUAACGGCCCGCCAAGCCGAAGACGGGUAGGGGCCGUGAGAGCGGGAGCCCCCAGAUGGGCACUGAGACAAGGGCCCAGGCCCUACGGGGCGCACCAGGGGCGAAACCUCCGCAAUGGGUAUAUGCCUGACGGGGGGACGGGGAGUGCCCAGGGGUUUUCCCCUGGGCUUUUCGGGAGUGUAAAAAGCUCCCGGAAUAAGCGGUGGGCAAG
Molecule: ribosomal RNA, 476 nt
Filed under: uncultured Nanoarchaeota archaeon
Lineage: Archaea; Nanobdellati; Nanobdellota
Description: bacterial SSU rRNA
Rfam family: Archaeal small subunit ribosomal RNA
Source: RNAcentral